Tribolium castaneum (red flour beetle) is the source of this 74-nucleotide non-coding RNA. The record is from RefSeq and is marked provisional. Lineage: Eukaryota; Metazoa; Arthropoda; Insecta; Coleoptera; Tenebrionidae.
CACUUGCGUCUUUAGCUCAAUAAAUAUUAGAGGUGCUUUAUUUGGGCCAAUAUUUGCGCUAGAUAGCGCGUAUU